GUAUUUUUUAGAUCACUCCCAGUUUUGGAAGGAGAGAGUGUCUAGUAAUAGCCAAUCCUGAAAACUGCACGUCGCCGAGUCUAGAAGUAUCGCGUGACCGAUAACUUUAUUAUAGCGUGACGAGAUAGAACGGAAAAGCCUCGCUUCUAUACCGAAAGUGUUAUCAUAUUGGCAAUGCCCGGAAGUCAAGCGAGUCAACAAUCAGCGACCAAACCGCUUGGAAAAUCAAAGUUUCUCGCGAAUUUAGCCAACAAAUUUUGGUUAACGUGUGAUGGAAGAAUAAUUAAACGGGCUCAGUCCAGAGUUCUAUAAUAUCUGCUACAACUGAUUUGAGUCAAAUCGCAACAUAAGUGGAAUUGAAGAGCUAUAAAGCUUGGAAACCAUCUAUACAUAAGUGCUGGGAUAACCGAUCGAUGCGACAUUUUGAGACAUUUGAGUAACAUCUGAGCGGCCACUUUAUAAUGUCCUCUAGGAGCUGGGUCAGAUGUUUUGUGUCUGCAACGUUUCUGUGCACCUGCAUGAAAUACCAAGGAACACACGGAAAAUGUAACUGUGUUUUCUCUUUGGGCAGCAACACUUACAACAUCUCGUCUCUAAUAAGUACAAAUGGUUCACGGUUAGUAAAGCGCUUAGAGUAUAGAUUAUAAUCCAUCAAAUAUUUUCGCUCGUCGGCGACUGGUCUAAACGCUUCACGUGACUGAAUAAGCCCCAGCUAAAACUGGGGAACAUCCGAGUGAUAUUCCCCAAUUUUCAAAACUGCGCG
This is a long non-coding RNA of Orbicella faveolata, 763 nucleotides long. NCBI's taxonomy places the organism in Eukaryota, Metazoa, Cnidaria, Anthozoa, Scleractinia, Merulinidae. The record is from RefSeq and is a predicted model, not a curated record.